Molecule: ribosomal RNA, 475 nt
Filed under: Clostridioides difficile
Lineage: Bacteria; Bacillati; Bacillota; Clostridia; Peptostreptococcales; Peptostreptococcaceae
Description: bacterial LSU rRNA
Rfam family: Bacterial large subunit ribosomal RNA
Source: RNAcentral
UCAGGUGGCCGCAGAGAAUAGGCCCAAGCGACUGUUUACCAAAAACAUAGGUUUCUGCUAAGUCGCAAGACGAUGUAUAGGAGCUGACGCCUGCCCGGUGCUGGAAGGUUAAGGGGAUCUGUUAGAGCAAUCGAAGCAGUGAACUUAAGCCCCAGUAAACGGCGGCCGUAACUAUAACGGUCCUAAGGUAGCGAAAUUCCUUGUCGGGUAAGUUCCGACCCGCACGAAAGGCGUAACGAUUUGGGCACUGUCGCAACAACAGACUCGGUGAAAUUGUAAUUCCGGUGAAGAUGCCGGAUACCUGCGACAGGACGGAAAGACACCAUGGAGCUUUACUGUAGCUUGACAUUGGGUCUUGGUACUACAUGUACAGGAUAGGUGGGAGGCUUUGAAACCAGGACGCCAGUUUUGGCGGAGCCAUCCUUGGGAUACCACCCUUGUAGUACUGGGACUCUAACCAUAGGCCAUGAAUCUG